Molecule: long non-coding RNA, 1132 nt
Organism: Phyllostomus discolor (pale spear-nosed bat)
Lineage: Eukaryota; Metazoa; Chordata; Mammalia; Chiroptera; Phyllostomidae
Exons: 2
Source: RefSeq, a predicted model, not a curated record
AGGCUUUCUCUCAGCCCAAAUGUUAGCUUAGCUGUAAAGAAGACUGCAAUCACGUAGGGCUUUGCGUCCAGGGAGCUCUGAGAACUUUACGCAUCAUUUAUCGUGAGCCUCGUAUUGCAAAAGACCAGUUACCUGAGGUUUGGGCGGAGAGUAGGGGAUGUUUAAGGUAUAUUGACACCAUUAAUCGGGGGGGGGGGAGACACAAAACCUCUGGUGUCGCGGUUUCCUAUCUGAAGCCCUUUUCACAGUCCUUUUAGUAAUGCAAGUUCCUCUAUUUGACUAGCACUAAAGGGCCAAAGAGACAGGUUUAUUUUCUCACCCAAAAGUCCUUCCUGAGGCAGCUGGUCAGAUACACGCAGAAUACACAGCCCUGCUUGAAAAGGAAUGUUCAGAGAACAAAUUGCCUUUUAAAACUAGUGUGCUGGACUGGCCUCUUCCAAAGCUAAAAAAUGACCCAGCCACUGAUAGAAGCCACUCAUUUCACCUGAAGUAAUCUGUUGGUUUCUGUGCUCUGAAGGUGCUGAUUUCAGUGCCUGUGAUGUUACAUCUGUGAGUCAUUGCUGUGCUUGAAACUGAGUGCUCCAAGGAAGUGGAUACCUUUUCUUCUGGUAGGCCACGCAACAUUGAGAUUGCAUCAGCAAAAACAUCCUCUCUGCUAGUCAGCAUCAUAAUUCAGAGAGGCAGCUGGUCAAGUGGGCAAAGAAAACUGAUGGUCAUGAAGGAGCUCGAUUGAACUGUUGCUUUAUCUUUUUAUAUCUCGAUACAACAAUAUGGAGAUAGGUCAUUUUCUUAUAAUACUUGCCACCUGCUUUGCCAUUGUUGUUUUACUUGGCUACCUUCUCCAAGCGAUUAUAGGCUUCAUAAGGACAGUUUUCCUCAUUAUUGUAUCAUCAAUUCAAUAAAAAAAUCUUUAAGAAAUGAAUAGAGGAAGUCAAUGCUGAACAGUCCUCUGGUCAGUGUUAUAGAAAUAAUGAAUUCUCAUCAGGUUAAUAAAAUGUGGGUUGAAUUGCUGAGGAAAUUUUAAUAACCAGUGGUUUCACCUGAAUUUAUAUCACAUGUAAAUGUAAUACUGAAUGUAGUUAUACAUCCUAGAAUAAGAAUAAAUGCUCAGGCCUUGAUAGCUAACUGCUGA